GUUUUAUAUCCUAAAACGAGGAGCUGGCAUCAGGCACAACCUCCGGUUAGCCCACGACGCCUCGCUUAGCCACACCCCCAAGGGAGUUUCAGCAGUGAUAAACCUUAAGCCAUAAGUGAAAACUAGACUUAGUAACAGCUAAUAAGGGCUGGUAAAACUCGUGCCAGCCGCCGCGGUUAUACGAGUGGCCCAAGUUGAUAAAAACCGGCGUAAAGCGUGGUUAAGGUCCCAACUCAAACUAAAGCCGAACCUCCUCACAGCAGUUAUACGCUUAUGAAGAAACUGAAGCUCCGCCACGAAAGUGGCUUUACUACCCCCCCCCCCCGACCCCACGAAAGCUAUGGCCCAAACUGGGAUUAGAGACCCCACUAUGCGUAGCCGUAAACCCUGACAGAUUUUUACAUCCCCUGUCCGCCCGGGCACUACGCGCGUCAGCGUAAAACCCAAAGGACUUGGCGGUUCUUUAGACCCCCUAGAGGAGCCUGUUCUAUAACCGAUAAUCCCCGUUUAACCUCACCCUCCCUUGCCUACCCCGCCUAUAUACCGCCGUCGUCAGCUACCCCUGUGAAGGAUGAACAGCUAGCAAGAUUGGUACCGCCCAAAACGUCAGGUCCAGGUGUAGCGUAUGAGAGGGGCAGAAAUGGGCUACAUUCGCUAAUUUAGCGAACACGAACGAUGUACUGAAAAAAUACAUCCGAAGGAGGAUUUAGCAGUAAGUAGGAAGCAGAGCGUCCCACUGAAGCCGGCUCUGAAGUGCGUACACACCGCCCGUCACUUUCCCCGAACAAUAAACACACGAAACUAACUAAAAUGCUUCGAACCGUUAAGGGGAAACAAGUCGUAACAUGGUAAGUGUACCGGAAGGUGUACUUGGCAAUAUAA
This 882-nucleotide non-coding RNA is filed under the name Promethichthys prometheus. RNAcentral's name for it is "partial 12S rRNA". It matches the Rfam family "Bacterial small subunit ribosomal RNA". Lineage: Eukaryota; Metazoa; Chordata; Actinopteri; Scombriformes; Gempylidae. The record is from RNAcentral.